This is a long non-coding RNA of Dioscorea cayenensis subsp. rotundata (Guinea yam), 226 nucleotides long. RefSeq lists it as uncharacterized. The transcript has 3 exons. The record is from RefSeq and is a predicted model, not a curated record. Lineage: Eukaryota; Viridiplantae; Streptophyta; Magnoliopsida; Dioscoreales; Dioscoreaceae.
UCAUAGCCUCUUGCUUAAACCCUAACUUUUUUCCACCGCAUCUGGCGAUCAUCUGGUGAUCUCUUCAGCUCUUAUCCUUCGAUCUCCUGUGGAUUAAAGCUGGGGUUUUCAGAAAUUGAGGGAUAUUCAACCAAUACUUGCCUUCUCAGUGCUGGCUGUGGUGGUUAAGGAUUUGGAUUUCCCUUAUGAUGGUUCUCAAUUGGUGGAUAUCUUGUUGCCAAUAUAU